This 764-nucleotide ribosomal RNA is filed under the name Bacillus sp. PSu3_35. RNAcentral's name for it is "bacterial SSU rRNA". It matches the Rfam family "Bacterial small subunit ribosomal RNA", at positions 57 to 803 of the family's 1533-position model. Lineage: Bacteria; Bacillati; Bacillota; Bacilli; Caryophanales; Bacillaceae. The record is from RNAcentral.
GCAAGUCGAGCGAACAGACGAGGAGCUUGCUCCUCUGACGUUAGCGGCGGACGGGUGAGUAACACGUGGAUAACCUACCUAUAAGACUGGGAUAACUUCGGGAAACCGGAGCUAAUACCGGAUAAUAUAUUGAACCGCAUGGUUCAAUAGUGAAAGACGGUUUUGCUGUCACUUAUAGAUGGAUCCGCGCCGCAUUAGCUAGUUGGUAAGGUAACGGCUUACCAAGGCAACGAUGCGUAGCCGACCUGAGAGGGUGAUCGGCCACACUGGAACUGAGACACGGUCCAGACUCCUACGGGAGGCAGCAGUAGGGAAUCUUCCGCAAUGGGCGAAAGCCUGACGGAGCAACGCCGCGUGAGUGAUGAAGGUCUUCGGAUCGUAAAACUCUGUUAUUAGGGAAGAACAAAUGUGUAAGUAACUAUGCACGUCUUGACGGUACCUAAUCAGAAAGCCACGGCUAACUACGUGCCAGCAGCCGCGGUAAUACGUAGGUGGCAAGCGUUAUCCGGAAUUAUUGGGCGUAAAGCGCGCGUAGGCGGUUUUUUAAGUCUGAUGUGAAAGCCCACGGCUCAACCGUGGAGGGUCAUUGGAAACUGGAAAACUUGAGUGCAGAAGAGGAAAGUGGAAUUCCAUGUGUAGCGGUGAAAUGCGCAGAGAUAUGGAGGAACACCAGUGGCGAAGGCGACUUUCUGGUCUGUAACUGACGCUGAUGUGCGAAAGCGUGGGGAUCAAACAGGAUUAGAUACCCUGGUAGUCCACGCCGU